UGGGGAAUAUUGCACAAUGGGCGCAAGCCUGAUGCAGCCAUGCCGCGUGUGUGAAGAAGGCCUUCGGGUUGUAAAGCACUUUCAGCGAGGAGGAAGGUGGUGAGCUUAAUACGCUCAUCAAUUGACGUUACUCGCAGAAGAAGCACCGGCUAACUCCGUGCCAGCAGCCGCGGUAAUACGGAGGGUGCAAGCGUUAAUCGGAAUUACUGGGCGUAAAGCGCACGCAGGCGGUUUGUUAAGUCAGAUGUGAAAUCCCCGGGCUCAACCUGGGAACUGCAUUUGAAACUGGCAAGCUAGAGUCUCGUAGAGGGGGGUAGAAUUCCAGGUGUAGCGGUGAAAUGCGUAGAGAUCUGGAGGAAUACCGGUGGCGAAGGCGGCCCCCUGGACGAAGACUGACGCUCAGGUGCGAAAGCGUGGGGCAGCAAACAGGAUUAGAUACCCUGGUAGUCCACGCUGUAAAACGAUGUCGAUUUUGGAGGUUGUGCCCUUGAGGCGUGGCUUCCGGAGCUAACGCGUUAAAUCGACCGCCUGGGGAG
Molecule: ribosomal RNA, 536 nt
Filed under: uncultured bacterium
Lineage: Bacteria
Description: partial 16S ribosomal RNA
Rfam family: Bacterial small subunit ribosomal RNA
Source: RNAcentral